UACGUAGGGGGCAAGCGUUGUCCGGAAUCAUUGGGCGUAAAGAGCGUGUAGGCGGCCCGAUAAGUCCGCCGUGAAAGCCCAGGGCUCAACCCUGGGAUGCCGGUGGAUACUGUCGGGCUAGAAUCCGGAAGAGGCGAGUGGAAUUCCUGGUGUAGCGGUGAAAUGCGCAGAUAUCAGGAGGAACACCGAUGGCGAAGGCAGCUCGCUGGGACGGUAUCGACGCUGAGACGCGAAAGCGUGGGGAGCAAACAGG
RNAcentral lists this ribosomal RNA (253 nucleotides) under uncultured bacterium. RNAcentral's name for it is "partial 16S ribosomal RNA". It matches the Rfam family "Bacterial small subunit ribosomal RNA", at positions 524 to 776 of the family's 1533-position model. The record is from RNAcentral.